CAAGCUUUACUCAAAUUCAAAAGAAACCUUAAAUAAAUUACAAAAAAAACAACAAGAAAUCUUAAAAGAAUAAAAAAAAAAAACAUCUACUAUAGAUCUUAAAGGAAUCUCUAAAAAAUCUUAAAAAAAUAUUAGAAUAAUCACAAAUAUAUCUUAAAUAAAUCUCAAUUAAGUCCUUUAUUUAAUCCUAAAUAAAAUUUUAAUAGACUUUAAUCAAAUCCUUGACUAAAUUCUAAAUCCUAAAUAAAUCUUAAAUCCUAAAUCAAAACCUAAAUAAAUUCUAAAUCCUAAACCAAAUCCUAAAAAAAUCUUAAACUCUAUACCAAACCCAAACAAAUCCUUAAUCUUAAAUCAAAUUGUAAACAAAUCCUAAACCUUAAAUUAAACCCUAAACAAAUCCUAAAUCCUAAACCAAAUCCUAGAAAAAUUCUAAACAAAUCCUUGAAUCUAAACCAAAUCCUAUAAAAAUCUUAAAUCCUAAACAAAUCUUAAACCCUAAACUAAAUCCUAAACGAUCUCUAAACCUUGAACCAAAUCUCAAACAAAUCCUAAACCAUAAACCAAAUCCUGAAAAAAUCUUAUAUUUCAAAUCAAAUCUUAGACAAAUCUUAAACCUUAAAUCAAAUCCUAAAUAAAUCCUAAAUCCUAAACCAAAUCCUAAGGCACAUU
Molecule: long non-coding RNA, 669 nt
Filed under: Physcomitrium patens
Lineage: Eukaryota; Viridiplantae; Streptophyta; Bryopsida; Funariales; Funariaceae
Description: long non-coding RNA (PPAT_LNC009653)
Source: RNAcentral